RNAcentral lists this ribosomal RNA (440 nucleotides) under uncultured bacterium. Its description in RNAcentral is "bacterial SSU rRNA". It matches the Rfam family "Bacterial small subunit ribosomal RNA", at positions 338 to 795 of the family's 1533-position model. The record is from RNAcentral.
CCUACGGGUGGCAGCAGUGGGGAAUAUUGGACAAUGGGCGAAAGCCUGAUCCAGCAAUGCCGCGUGAGUGAUGAAGGCCUUAGGGUUGUAAAGCUCUUUUACCCGGGAUGAUAAUGACAGUAGCCGAAGAAGAAGGACCGGCUAAUUCCGUGCCAGCAGCCGCGGUAAUACGGAAGGUCCUAGCGUUGUUCGGAAUUACUGGGCGUAAAGCGCAUGUAGGCGGAACAAAAAGUUAGAAGUGAAAUCCCUGGGCUCAACCUAGGAAUUGCUUUUAAAACUUUUGUUCUGGAAUUCAGGAGAGGAAAAUGGAAUUUCCAGUGUAGAGAUGAAAUUCGUAGAUAUUGGAAGGAACACCAGUGGCGAAGGCGAUUUUCUGGACUGAUAUUGACGCUGAGAUGCGAAGGCAUGGGUAGCAAACGGGAUUAGAUACCCUUGUAGUC